CAUCUAUUUUAUUUUUAUUUAAGCAACAGGUAAAUCAAGUCGAAUGUGUGCCAGAUAUCUUUCUAAGCAUUUUAAAUGUCUCCACUUGCCUAAGCCUCACAAUGACCCUGUAACGUGGAUGCUGUUCAUAUUCUCAUCCUGCCGAUGAGAAAACUGAAGCAGAGAAAGGUUAGGUAUCUUGCCCAAGGCAGCACAGCUGGAAGGGAGUAAGACUGGGAUUCUUCCCUGACAGUCUGGCCCCAGAGUCUAUGCUCUUAACUGCUCUGCUAAGCUGCGUCAACCUUCUCCCCAGUAAGACAGAUCCUCUCUGGCCCUUGUAUUUUUUUCCAACCUGGCCAGGCUUCCAUGUCCUACGUUAGUGUCAGAGCAGGGCAGUCAGGCUAACGGAGCAUUUUUAAUAAGAGAACGGCAUAGCCGGAUUACUCGCGUAAUCAGCUCUAGCCUCAAAGCCUCAGGAUGAAAAGCUUCAGAUGAAAUCAACCCCAGUCAGUGUCCCUGAUGAGGAAUAAAAGAUGUGAAGGAUCCUGCUGCCUGAAAAGAAAGUCAACACAGAAUCAUUUUUCUCAUCUCAUCUAGCGCAAAUUUAAAAUUUUCCUUGGAAAUGUUUUUGCCUCCUUGAUUUGUCUCUGGUUUUCUACUUUCCUUCAGUGUUACCUUUUCAGCCCACCCCUCCUCCAUCACCCACAUGCCAGGCAUGUCCCUCUCUUGUAAAGGGACGCACCCAAGAUGAGCCAGACAGCUGACCUCUCUAGACCUCAGAUUUUCCUCUGUAAAGUCAGCGGUUUGCAUUGAGGAUCUCAAAUUAAGAUGCCACCCAGCCUUUGUAUAGGGAUUUGCAGUUUGUAAGCUACUUCAGUGUCCAUUAUUUUAUCCUCUCUCCCAGUGACUGACUGGUAGGCCCAGCAGGUAGGUUAUCCUCAAUUUUCAGGAGAGGGCACUGAGGUGCCUCUGCAGCAGAGAGAACUGAGAUCUACUGCUUAGAAGCCCAGAACUUCUUCCUCUUCACUUCCCAGCAUCUCUAUGGGCCCGUUCAAGCUCAUAGUCUACACUUCUAUGCCUGCCUCCCAGGCCCCUGUCCCUGGCUAGGACAGGUCUCUGGAAGCUGAAGCUGGCUGCCACAGCAUCCUGGCUCCCGGAGACAUUUAAGAGGCUCACUUGGUACCUGAAGACUGCAGUGAUGAAAGUUCUCCCUUUAAUUUUCAUCCUCAUGAGUCUGGACCAUCAGAGACCACAAACAGAUGUCAAAUUUGGCCUGGGUUUGGUGGGAGUCACAUCUGGUUGGCCUUUUCCCAGCCUGCUAUUUCCCUCCACAGCUGGUUGUCAUGGAGGCUGCAGGCCUGCCUGUAGGGAUGGGUGUGGGGGCGGGUGGUGAGGGAGCUGAAGGAUUAUUUGGAUCCUGGAUUGGCUCACCCUCUGGCUUUCAUCUGUCUCGUCAUGUAUAUCUGACAUGUUUUUACAUGUGCACUGGGCCAUGCAUCUUGAACCUUCCAAAAAGUCCUCAUCUACAUAAUGGGAGUCAUUGGCUGAAGAGGGAAAGAACUAACAUGAUUCAAAACCCAUGGCAGUCAGGUAAAUAUGAAGACUCAUAACGCACAGAGCUUGGGGCCCAAAGGGUGCACCCUGCUUAGAGUUAAAAGAUACCCACCUGCCUGAAACUGUUCUAAUUUACACCUGCUGUUCGGCUGUCAUUUUUAAUAGCAGCUUCUUUCACUCCCCAAAGUUUCCUACUUUGGACAAUAAAUCACAUGAAUACAUUAUCUGUGAUGUGAGAUCAAAGACCGUCAAACUACAGAAUCUCUAAACGGAAAGGCUUGCCAAAGACCUUUAAGCGCAACAUCCCUUCCAGUGCUUGGAAUCCCCUUCUAAACAUGACAACAGACUUCAGCUCUAUUAAGCAGUGCAUUUGGACCCACAGCGUCAUAAAGAUUUUGAGGUCACUUCCUAUGUAUCUGUUUUGUCUCAGUAGUUUGUAACAUUAGAAGACAUCAUAAACAUUAAUGAGGGAGAGAAUGAUCCUAGAAUAACUUGGUCACAAAUGAUGCAGAGCUAUUUAGCAGAAAGGAGAAUUCCUGAGUGCCCCACUAUGCACCAUACACCAUGGUAAGAUGUUUUUUCUCCAGUAGAUCCACGUUGGGAGCAAAGUUGAGAAACAGGGAUAAGUUCCCCCCUUACAAGUGAGAAAAUUGAAGCAAAAAAAAUUUAAGCAUAAGGCUCAAGAUUCUAAAAGCUAACAACCAUCGGCAGGACUGAGAUUUGAACCCUACUCUUCCUGACCCCAAGGGCCACACACCUGUUGCUCCUAGUGGAGCCCAUGGCUUUCCACUUGGCGCCCCUCCCCAUUUCCUGUCUCCACCGACGCUCGAGGUGGGAAAGCAAAAAGUGCCAAAGCUACUGCUCACCUUUUGUGCCAGGCAGCUUCUCCCACAACCUGUCAAUUCCUGCAGAACACACUUCUUCAAUGAAGGGCAGACGCGGGCACCAAGCUAAAGAAAUUCUAUUACUAGUAUCUGCUUUUGGCGCAGUCCAGAUCUAAUGUGAAAUGGCAUUGAAUGGUGAACAAAGGCAUUAAAUAAUGUCAGUAAACUCUCUCCUUUGGAGGGAAAGGCAGGGACUGAGACAAAGAAGGAGAAAAGGCACUCGGAGCUGCUCAGUGGCCCUAGAGCAACAGUGCCACGGCCCCAUUUCCUGCCUGUGAUAUCACUUCAGAGCAAUUGUUUUCUUCUGUGAAGACACUUCAAAAGAUUCUUAGAGACAGAGGCUCUUGCGACUGGCCAGAGCAAGUAACAAAAGGCCUGGGGAGAAUUACGAAGCAUUUCUCGUGCCCCGUAGACUGGGAAGUGCUUCAUAGCCGUGUGGCAGAUAUGAGUGGGCAGGGCAGCCUGGGAGCUGCCCCAAAGGAGGUGGCAGAGGAAGCAGCAAGCCAGGAGAUCAGCACAGCUUGCAGAGGUUUGCAGGUGAAGCCAAGGUUGGGGGUGAUGGAAAACUAACAUCACCCCUAUUAAAUAAAAGUCUGAGGAAACUAUGAGAAGGAAAGCAAGAGUGAUUCAAAAUAUUGCCAACCACUACCUUUAAGUUCAGCUGUGGGUGUGCAAGUCCGUGUGUGUGCAUGUGCUUGUGUGUCCCUGUUACAUUAAUUCUACACAUAUUUGCAGCGUGCCUACCAUACAUUGGUCGGCACUAAGGGCUUGGUCCCUGUCCUGGCAGAGCAUCCAGUAUCACAGACAUUAUGUUCUGUUCCUAGGUCCCAGGUUUGGGGGCAACUUGGCUGAACAGCUCAGGGACCAGGUUCAAGUCCUUUUACACCUAUUAGAAUCUCAGGUAGGAUUUUCCAAAGUGCAAUCUUGGAGUAUUAUGUAGUGAGGUGUUUUACUUUAAUUGCUUUGUAAUUACUUAACGUGUGACUAUCCCAUUAGACCCAGUGUUUUCAUGGGUGUUUUGACUUAAGCAAGGCUAGGUAAAAACAAUAAAUUAAGCAAAUCAUAUCAGAGGUGGUACAAAGAAACAGCAAAAAUUGUGAAAAGUCAACUCAGAGUACUAAUGUUUCAAAUCCCUGAAAUAACGUGUAUGAAAAUAAAAACGCACAUGGCCCGUGGAAAUAGAAGAGGCUGUCAUUACCCCUCAGUGGGCAUUUGCUCCCUCCUGCCCCCAAACAAUGAUGAAUGAAGCAAAGAUCUUAGGAGAGCACUGCUCUGAAUGCACGUGCCCCUGCCGACAGUUCCACCAUUAUUCAAAAGGCACUAAGUGUGCGCUGAUGCCUCAGGAAACUUAACAAAAGAGUGAGAGCUAGUCCCUGGUCUAAAAAGAGUAUAAUUUAGGAGGAAAGAAAAGACAAACCCACAAAUAACUGUAAAAUGAGAUAAUCCCCAAAGAGGAGGUACAGAGUCCCCAUAGGAGGUGCUCAAACGAUGAAUAAGUCACGCCUGCUGGACGAGGUCAAGAAAGACUUCAUGGAGAUUUGAGAUGGCAUUUGAGAUAAGCCUGGAAAGAUGGAUAAAAUUUCAGUGGCCCCAAAUUCCAGAGACAGAGGAACACUUGAGCAAAUGACACGAAGCCUGGAAAGUGGUUGCAGGAUAGACAGUUUCUUCUACAUAGCUGAGAUGUAGAAGACAAGGCAGGCAGAUGAUGAGGUGGGAUUAUAGAAUAACAGGGCUGGAGGAGCAGACUUCACAUCACGGAAAUAGGGUCAGGGGUAAUGGAGAGUUUAAAACAUGAUUAGAUCUUCUCUGGAGAAACCUAAACCUGAAAAUGGACUGAAAGUAGAGUUUACUGUCACCCCAGCCUUGGUUACUGUGACAGCCUAGGAGAAGUGCAAUAAAAAUGUGAGUUUGUAGGACCAAAAUGACAGCUUUUCAAAGAGACUGUCUAGGACCUGGGAAUUGAUUUGUGGUGGAGACCUGGAUAAGGAAGAUGCAAGGAAAACUAGGUAACUAGAUCCCUCCCACUCCUCUCAUAUAUAUUAAUAAUAUAUUUGCUUUAUUGUAAUAAAUAUAUUAAUAUACUAUAUUAAUAUGAUACUAAUAACACUAUCUUACAUAUCAGUGUAUUCAGACACAUGUACAUAUAUAUACACAUGUAUGCAUAUAUAUAAUGUAUAAAAUAUGUUACACAAUAUAAUGCACAUAUUAUAUAUUACAUAUAAUGAACCAUUGCCAUUUGGUAGAUUUCGCCUUGAUUUUUUGCUAUGCUUAGGUUUGCAUGUGUGACUAUGCAGAUAUCAAGCCACCUAUUUUCUCUUCCGAAAUAAGGAUCAUCUUCUUGGUUUUCUUUUCACUUCCCCUGGUCUUUUCUCCUGAAUACCCUCCUAUCCUGAGGCUAACCUCAUCCCCUAAGGCAUUUAUAUUUCUAUUCCAUCACUUGCAAGGGUUUGCCUUGGCCUACAACUUCAAUAUUAAAAGUAGAGAACCACUUCUUUUUGCCAUCUUGGAUCAGAGAUAGAGAUGGAUGACAAAGCCAGGGUCAUGGACAUGUGAUGUUGCUGGAUUUGGAGACAGAGGAACAUGGGCAGCCUCUGGACACUGGAAAAGACAAGGACACUAGUUCUCCCUGAGAGCCUCCAGAAGGACGCAGCCAGAAGGCACACAAAAAUGAUGUUCUGCCUCCUCCACUACCGGUAUGGCUCAUGGCCUGAGGAAGUCACUCAAACUCUCAUGGGGGUGACACCUUGCCAGAGACUGUCAGAAAGUUCAAUUAAAUCUCACACCCAGUGGACGUCCCUUGUUUCUCAUGCACAGGCCAGUCAGUAGGAAGGGUCAGGGCUUCUUCAAAAAUGGCUGAUUAAACAUCACUUUAUCAGAUCAUGUCCCUUUUAUGUUCAAAAGCUUCCAGAUGCUCCUCAUCUUACAGAACAACCUAAAACUUCCCCUGUUCUCAAGGCCUUCAUGACACAAUAUGAUCCCCAUUUCCUCUCUGACUGUAUCUUGUUCUACUUUUCCCUUGCUGACUUUGCUCCAGCCAUGCUAGCUACCUUGCUGUUUGGGGAGGCAGUUUCCAGCCUCAGGACAUUUUCACUUGCUGUGUUCCCUGUCUAGAAUCCUCUUCUCCCCACAUGGCUUUCUCUCUCAACUCCUUCAGAUGGUCAUUCAUAUACUACCUUCCUUCUGAGGCCUUCUGAGGUUCAGCUUCAUUGCAGGAACCCGCAACCAAACACUCCUCAUCCCCCUCCUCUAGUUUCCUCCACAGCACUUCCAUCUGCUAACACAAUACAUAUUUCAUUAAUUCCAUUAGAAUGCAAGCUCUGUGAGGGCUCUUCAGGAAGACAUAGAAUAGGUAUGUUAAAAAUACUUGUUGGAUUAGUGUGUACACAAAUCUAUAAUCAGGAGAUAACCAUCAGCAUGGUCUCCCAUUAAAGGCAUCUCCUUUCACUUACGGAUGGAAAAUGAAGUCAGGAGAAUGGUAAUCAACCUAUCAUUGAAUGAUGAAGCUGCAGCUAAGAUCAAGUCCUUGAAGAUCUUGCAGAGCCCAAUCAGCUCAAAGGAAGAGUGAAAACAUGGUCAAGGGUCCCAAGACCAGUUCUUGUCUCUCAGACAGAGAGAACCCAGAGAAAGCUGGCCUUCCUAUUUCCCCUCCUUCCUGGUCUCACCCAGUCUCUAAAAACCAUAAGAACAGUUUGUCUCAAUAUUUCAGUACUUCCGCUUCCAGGCCCAGGAAAGAGCAGGAAGUGUGGGGGUGUGUGAAAAUUGAGAGAGAAAAAUUAAACCCACUACACGUAAAGGGCUCAAAGACUUCCUCUGAAGCCUGUCACAGAACACGGGUUUUAAUGUGCUUUCACUGUGAGCCCUGGGCGGGAGCGGGGGGACCAAAAACCAGUCCUAGUACUCACUCAUCCAACACAGAUUUACUUCAGGACAAUUGUGUGCCCAGAAGAAGACAAGUGGUCCUUGUCCACUCCACGGUGUUAUAAUGGUAGAAGGAUAAACUCACCUGGGGAUCUCCCUUCCCAAUAUCCAUGCUGAGUAGACUGACUUUCCAAAAGGGUCCCCAAGGGGUGCCUUAGACUGUGAGGAAUUACAUGCUGGGUUUAAGGCAAGCUUUAGAAUCUAGUCUUCGAAGACUCCAAUCUUGGCCGCACUUACUUACUAAAUGUAGGCUUCCUAAAGGAAGGACUGUGUUUAUUUCAUUUACCAUUAUGUCCCCAGCACUUAGCACAGUGCCCCAUACUCUUUAACUUGUUGCCUAAAAAAAUUAAACUCUCAGAGCCUCCAUUUCCUUGUUUGUAAAAUGAGAUUGUAAAACCCACUUUGAAACUGUGAGAGAAAAACCUGAAAUCUUCGAGUAGGUGAAGUGCUUACACAGUGCCUGGUACAGGGUAGGCAUUCAUUUAAAUGAAUGGCCAUUUGGGUGGCUAUGGUGGUGAUUCUAUGGUAGGCGAGGUUUAGUGGGCUCUGGGCAACUUGUAGCACAUUCCUGUCCUUAAUGAUUUGUUCAGUCUGGAAUUUUGGACUAAGCAUGGGCUUGAUGAGUUGGAUCUCAGGGAGAUCCAUUUCUGUUAGAAAAGUCCUGUUCAAAUUGAGCCAGAAACUCUGGAAAGGGGAAGGAUGUGUUUUACAUCCCAGCUACUGGGGUGACUGGCAGCAGAACUGAAAGAGCGUGACUAAGCACAGCCCACAUGGGGGCUGAGGUCCCUCCCUCUCGGCUGUGGGACUGCAGGGGGGAGGGGCACCAGGUUUCAUUGCAUCUGAUAAAUGGAUUGCAAAGAGCAAGGGAAGGCAAUUGGAACAUUUUCAUAGCCAUUCCUCUGUUCGUUUAUCAAAGC
RNAcentral lists this long non-coding RNA (7252 nucleotides) under Sus scrofa (pig). Its description in RNAcentral is "lncRNA (ENSSSCG00000052674.1)". The record is from RNAcentral. Lineage: Eukaryota; Metazoa; Chordata; Mammalia; Artiodactyla; Suidae.